AGUGAACGCUGGCGGUAGGCCUAACACAUGCAAGUCGAACGGCAGCACAGUAAGAGCUUGCUCUUACGGGUGGCGAGUGGCGGACGGGUGAGGAAUACAUCGGAAUCUACUUUUUCGUGGGGGAUAACGUAGGGAAACUUACGCUAAUACCGCAUACGACCUACGGGUGAAAGCAGAGGAUCUUCGGACCUUGCGCGAUUGAAUGAGCCGAUGUCGGAUUAGCUAGUUGGCGGGGUAAAGGCCCACCAAGGCGACGAUCCGUAGCUGGUCUGAGAGGAUGAUCAGCCACACUGGAACUGAGACACGGUCCAGACUCCUACGGGAGGCAGCAGUGGGGAAUAUUGGACAAUGGGCGCAAGCCUGAUCCAGCCAUACCGCGUGGGUGAAGAAGGCCUUCGGGUUGUAAAGCCCUUUUGUUGGGAAAGAAAAGCAGCAGGUUAAUACCCCGCUGUUCUGACGGUACCCAAAGAAUAAGCACCGGCUAACUUCGUGC
Molecule: ribosomal RNA, 493 nt
Filed under: uncultured bacterium
Lineage: Bacteria
Description: partial 16S ribosomal RNA
Rfam family: Bacterial small subunit ribosomal RNA
Source: RNAcentral